Rosa rugosa (rugosa rose) is the source of this 1998-nucleotide long non-coding RNA. RefSeq lists it as uncharacterized. The transcript has 4 exons. NCBI's taxonomy places the organism in Eukaryota, Viridiplantae, Streptophyta, Magnoliopsida, Rosales, Rosaceae. The record is from RefSeq and is a predicted model, not a curated record.
AUUUGGAACAAGUGACUCACCAAGUGUUCUUCGAUAUCGAAAUCGAUGGAAAACCCAUUGGUCGCAUAGUCAUGGGUCUCUUUGGAAAAACAGUUCCAAAAACCAUAGAGAACUUUCGAGCACUUUUGCACUGGUAGCCAAGUAACUUAAGCUCCAUUAAUUACUGUGAUCUUGUGAUGACCUGCCUUAUUCCUAAUGUAUUUCCAUGAUUAAAUGGAAGCUAUGGCUUUUCUAUUGCUACUUUUGAGUUUAACGAAGGCUUGGGUUUCAGGGGAGAAGGGAAUUGGAAAGAGUAUGAAACCUCUGCACUACAAAGGAAGUAUAUUUCAUAGGAUUAUUCCCAGCUUUAUGAUUCAGGGAGGGGAUUUCACUCUUGGCGAUGGAAGAGGUGGAGAAUCGAUUUAUAGUGAUAAGUUUGCAGAUGAAAACUUCAAAGUGAAGCAUCUGGACCAGGCAAGCUAAACUCUUCCUUGUUUCCGAGUAGUUACUAUUGCAAAAGUUCUUCCAAAAUGUAGAUACUGCAAAUAUGUGUAUUCCUAAUUUCCCAGUAAUCUUGAGUUCCGGGUCCUUUUGUGCGACAAACAGCUUAUUUAUCAAUGGCAAAUUCUGUUUAAGACACCAAUGGAUCACAGUUCUUCAUCACAACUGUCAAAACUAGCUGGUUGGAAGGUCACCAUGUUGUAUUUGGCAAGGUGCUUUCUGGAAUGGACGUUGUGUACAAGGUUGUAGGAGUAGGAGGAUCGGAUGGGAUACUAAGAGUGAGGUUGUUAUCAAAGACAGCGGUGCACUUCCGAUGUGACCAGCCUACCCUACUCUUUCAUAAAAUGACAAGAUGGGCAUAUCAGUGAACUUCCGAUGUGACUGGUCUAAUACAAAUGAUAAGCAACUAUUGCCUAGUUGAGAUAUUGUUGUUCAUACUGUGUGCUUAUAUUGCACGUUAGCGGCUUAAUAUUUAGAAAGAAAUUUGGUUUAAUUGUACACAUCAAGUUGCUCACUACUUCCACUACUUCAACUCCAUGAAGAGUUGCAAUUGAUCGUGAAUCACCAAAUUGUUCCUUGAGUUUAUUAUGUCAUUGGAAGAAACUCCAAGAAAAGAAGCUUAACAAUGGGUAACAUAUAAUCAGCUUGAAUGAACGACCCUAGCAAAAUUGAGGUCAUAAGAGAAGCUAGAUACAAAUGGUAUAACAUUGAUUAGUAUUAAUGAUGGAAUUUGUUGACUGUUCCUAACAGCACACUUGCUAUUGAACCACAUCAAAAACAAAGCUGAAAGCCUGAAAUGAACCAACAGAAUCCAGUAGCCUCAUAAUCAACAACAGGUAAUGAGCAUAUAAGUGAACUGAAAGAUAAACAAGCUUGAAACAGGAAUUGCCAAUAUGCCCGCACUUCUAGAGUUCUGAUCAUAUUAGGCUGCAAAGUGAUUGAAUCAUAAGACCUCCAGAACAGUUUCAAGCCUAACACAGAUACUACAGGAGUACAGGAACUGUAGAUAAGAGGUCUAGACUUCUUAUGCUUAUACCAUGAACUUAAAUCAGGUAAAAGAUCUUCAAAAUGAUGAUACUCUUGAAUCCUUGGAAGGCAACGAAAGAGUUUCUUCCUUACUAUUCAGUAAUCAAUGUCUCAGUAAGAAUAUCACGGGAGGUUGAUAAAAGGACUGAUAUAGUGGUCUUUUACAAUACAAGGCAGAGAACUAUAGCAGAGCAGAUCCACAAUACAACUUAACCAAACAGAUUCAGAAGUUGCUAAUCCGAUGGUCGCAAAUUUCUUUCAUGAGAAUAGGUGAGAGAAGUUGCCCUCUACUAUGAGCAGCAUGUACACAUUCUUCACCACCCAAAUUCAGAUCCUAACUAAUAACAAGCUACUCAUCUGAACAUUCCGUGUUGACCUGCUGAGAAGAUUGCUUAACAUGAGGCCUAGCAACGAACAAGGCAUUGAGCGAAAAGCCAUAAGUACCUCGUCUUUAGUUUGGCAGGUUCAACAGGAAAGCAGUUGCACUGUAAU